This 540-nucleotide long non-coding RNA is filed under the name Glycine max (soybean). Its description in RNAcentral is "long non-coding RNA (GMAX_LNC001987)". The record is from RNAcentral. Lineage: Eukaryota; Viridiplantae; Streptophyta; Magnoliopsida; Fabales; Fabaceae.
UCCUUGCCCUUGGUUAUGUCCUCAUCAAAACCUGGUCUCUGCUUGUCAUCGGGCCCGCCGCCUCUGGAUGACAAAAGGGUGCGGAUAACCGUAAGGUGUCUCCGCGGGCUACCAGCUCUUGGGUCAUGGUAACAGAAAGCGGCGCGGUCGACAAAAGCGAGGCUUUUGCUCCUACGUAUCCUCCAAUGAGGAACUCAGACCUACGUAGUUCUGGAUAACUUGUGAGACUUGAAAAGUCUCCAUCGGAAAAUUCUUACAUCUCCGGAAAAGGCGCAGAUGACCACAUUGGCCUCUGCUCAUCAAUCACACUUGGGGUCACUGAAUGACGAGGUGCGGAUAACCGUAAGGUGUCUCUGCGGGCUACCAGCUCUUGGGUCAUGGCAACAAAAGGCGGUGUGGUCGACAAAAGCGAGGCUCUUGCUCCUACGUAUCCCCCAAUGAGGAACUCAGACCUACGUAGUUCUGGAUAACUUGUGAGACUUGAAAAAGUCUCGGUGUUUUCUCCACUAAAAUGCAAACAUGCUUUAGCAAAGAGACAAA